RNAcentral lists this ribosomal RNA (429 nucleotides) under Chloroflexota bacterium. RNAcentral describes it as "Chloroflexi bacterium partial 16S ribosomal RNA". It matches the Rfam family "Bacterial small subunit ribosomal RNA", at positions 355 to 776 of the family's 1533-position model. The record is from RNAcentral. Lineage: Bacteria; Bacillati; Chloroflexota.
UGGGGAAUAUUGCACAAUGGGCGCAAGCCUGAUGCAGCCAUGCCGCGUGUGUGAAGAAGGCCUUCGGGUUGUAAAGCACUUUCAGCGGGGAGGAAGGCGUUAAGGUUAAUAACCUUGUCGAUUGACGUUACCCGCAGAAGAAGCACCGGCUAACUCCGUGCCAGCAGCCGCGGUAAUACGGAGGGUGCAAGCGUUAAUCGGAAUUACUGGGCGUAAAGCGCACGCAGGCGGUCUGUCAAGUCGGAUGUGAAAUCCCCGGGCUCAACCUGGGAACUGCAUUCGGAACUGGCAGGCUAGAGUCUUGUAGAGGGGGGUAGAAUUCCAGGUGUAGCGGUGAAAUGCGUAGAGAUCUGGAGGAAUACCGGUGGCGAAGGCGGCCCCCUGGACAAAGACUGACGCUCAGGUGCGAAAGCGUGGGGAGCAAACAGG